AAAUCCUUACCAAUAAGGUGGGAGGAGUUCAGGUAGGCAACCAACUAAGUUACUAAGAUUUUUCGUCGAUAUGUAAAGUGUGAAGAGGUAGAAUGUAUGCAAAUCACGACAAAUAAAUCAAUUAUUUAUUAAUGAUCAUAAUUAAUUAUCCAUGCUUUAGUCUCAGUUAAUUAGAUCUAGGGAAAUAUAUAUACCCUCUCAGAGGGUUAAACGCUUGAUUGACCAUUUUAAGGCCCAAAC
Molecule: long non-coding RNA, 240 nt
Filed under: Solanum tuberosum (potato)
Lineage: Eukaryota; Viridiplantae; Streptophyta; Magnoliopsida; Solanales; Solanaceae
Description: long non-coding RNA (STUB_LNC005241)
Source: RNAcentral